Apis cerana (Asiatic honeybee) is the source of this 1676-nucleotide long non-coding RNA. RefSeq lists it as uncharacterized. Lineage: Eukaryota; Metazoa; Arthropoda; Insecta; Hymenoptera; Apidae. The record is from RefSeq and is a predicted model, not a curated record.
UGUGCCGCGAAAUUAGGAGCGAGCGUCUAUCGGUCAAGGUAAAUGCGGCGCGCAUUAGACAGGCUGCAAGUUGGCCAGGGAUGAGACGAAGAGAGAGAGAGAGAGAGACGCGAGAAGGAAAGAGAUAGGAGGAGGUGUAAGGGUGAAAGCGACAGAGAGGAGGACGAAAUGGGAAAUGGAGGGGGUAGGUAGGAGCCUAAUUGGUCGAAAUUAGCAAGUUUAGUCAUUAGUGGAGUUUCCGGCGGUGGCGGUGGGUCCACUUGACUCCACUUCCUGGGAAAGGAAGGACGGAAGGAAGGAAGGUGUGUACAGCUACCAUCGGUUACGCGGUGCCUGGAUAUGCUUCUGGACGUAUCUACGUGUCUGUGUACGCGUUUGAAUAUACGUAUAUAUAUAUGUGUGUAUGUGUGUGUGUAUACAAAUGCUCGCUUUUGAACAUAUAUACGAGUAUGCGGGUAUAAAUGCAUCCCGUAAGUAGGUAUGGGUGACACCGGCCAAGUUUGCACGCGCGCCAGUCGGCGAGCAAGCGAAGCAGGCGCGAGUUGGGAUACGUCACGGAGCACUUCGUGACCGCAAAUAACUGUUUCCAUUGGAAUCCUGCGGUUUUACACCUUACCGCCGCCACGAUAUCAACGCCUUCACGCGUCGAAGGAAGCGAUUGAACGUGCAUGUUCCGGGUCGAGGAUGAUUCUUCUAUUCUAUGUAUUAUUUUGGAAAAAUGAUAGAUAGGAACGAGACAAAAAAGGGAGUAAUUUGAGGGGGGAUAAUCAAUUGAGAAUGUAUUUCUGCUCUUAUUUGCAGGUUUGUAAUACAAGAAAGGGAGGAUUCAUUGGAUAAAAUUACACGAACACAGGACACGUUGGAAGUUUGUGUCCUUUUCUUCAGUUUAGAAAAGAAUGGAUGAAAUUUUAUUUUGUUUUUUUGGAUUGUUAUUAUUCUUCUGUUUCUAAAGCAGUGACAUGUUUUAUCAAAUAUGUUUGCAACUUACAAAAAAAGGAAAGACCAAUAUAUAUAAAUAAAUCAAAUUAAAUUGUCACAGAGUGAUUUACAUUAAUUUUGCUUGCAUAGUUUUCAUUCAAAUUCCAGUUAGUUUUGGAUCUUGUAUAAUCAGAAUAGGAAAAUGCAUUUUUCAUAAUAUGAUUUAUGCAAGAAUAAGAAAAAUUUAGAUUUAUGUAAGACAGGUAUUUCUAAAGCGUAGCCGUAAGACGAGUGUUUGCGACAGGGCAAUUCGAUAAAUCUAGCGACACACGGUUAAUACCCUGUAUUUAGAUUGUAUUAUCGCGGUCCAGUAAGUCAAGGAUGCAAACGAACGUGUUCCCGAUUCCUCGUAUUUACCAUGAAAACUUUUAACCAACAUUUGGACCGGUGCCCACUCUGAUGAGGACGUUUUACAGCCUAACUAUUCGGACCCCUUCGUCCCGAAUCUAUCGUUCAAAAAGCUUUAUAUUAAAUUUGAUAUUAUGGACAAACUUUAAUUUAAAAAUUUAAUCAGACAAAAUUAAUGUAAUAUUCAUCGUGUAGACGUGAAUUAUAUCAUUUCAAUAAUUUAAAGAACGUUCUUUUCGUUUGUAUUUUAUCCAAAGAUAAUUAAUCUCUUUUUACCAAAAUAUUGUAUUUUACUCCUAUUUAAUAUUUACUCAGAAUAAAAAUGUUAACUAUUUAAAAAGCACAAAAAA